ACACUCAGGGAGACUGGACUUAAACAGCUACACCACCAGAAGCCGAGAGAGAGGCUGGAACAUAGCCUUCCCUUUGGAGCCCUAGCAGAUGCUAAUCCAGCGUGCAUCCUGACAGAGGUUGAAGGGAGCUCCUCAAGUCCCAGGUCCAGCUUGGUGUGGUUCAGCUACUCGAGAGACAUCUGCUGCUAAUGGAUGAGCAGUCAGCCUGGAUGCAGGAAAUCAUUUUUUAUUUGGUCCUGGAGGCUGGAAGUGCAAGAGGAAGGUGUCGGCAAGAUCGUUUUUUUCUGAGAGCUCUCUUCUUGGCUUGCAGAUGGCAGCCUUCUCCUGGCGCAGUCUUUUCUCUACUCACGCCCAAAGUUACAGAGGACCCAGCAACCAUCUCCUGCAGCCCCUGGAAACCUCUUGACUCUUCUGUGAUGUUCCCAGUGAUCCAGCAGCCCCGGCCUUCUUCUGAUGGCUUGAACAUUUGGUCUUCAUUGAACAGUUUGUAUAUUGGAAACUUGGCAGCCUCCAUCCACAUUCCAACCUCCUUCUGCAUCCCUCGGUACAAAAUGGUUCAAUCUGUCUACCUCCUUUCACAUUCCACCAAGAUAUUCCAAUGCCCAGGGUUCCUUUGACCACCUCACACCUAACAAGUUCCCUCACUGUCUCUCACUCUCCCCUGAAGAUUCUAAGCUGCCUCUGUCCUGCUAA
This 693-nucleotide long non-coding RNA is filed under the name Pongo abelii (Sumatran orangutan). RNAcentral's name for it is "lincRNA". The record is from RNAcentral. Lineage: Eukaryota; Metazoa; Chordata; Mammalia; Primates; Hominidae.